GAUGAAGAACGUAGCGAAAUGCGAUAAGUAGUGUGAAUUGCAGAAUUCAGUGAAUCAUCGAAUCUUUGAACGCACAUUGCGCCCUUUGGUAUUCCAAAGGGCAUGCCUGUUCGAGCGUCAUUUGUACCCUCAAGCUUUGCUUGGUGUUGGGCGUCUUGUCUCUAGCUUUGCUGGAGACUCGCCUUAAAGUAAUUGGCAGCCGGCCUACUGGUUUCGGAGCGCAGCACAAGUUGCACUCUCUAUCAGCAAAGGUCUAGCAUCCAUUAAGCCUUUUUUUCAACUUUUGACCUCGGAUCAGGUAGGGAUACCCGCUGAACUUAAGCAUAUCAAUAAGCGGAGGA
This 341-nucleotide unclassified non-coding RNA is filed under the name soil metagenome. RNAcentral describes it as "partial contains 5.8S ribosomal RNA, internal transcribed spacer 2, and large subunit ribosomal RNA". The stretch from base 1 to 120 matches the Rfam family "5.8S ribosomal RNA", at positions 35 to 154 of the family's 154-position model. The record is from RNAcentral.